Molecule: long non-coding RNA, 1072 nt
Organism: Eriocheir sinensis (Chinese mitten crab)
Lineage: Eukaryota; Metazoa; Arthropoda; Malacostraca; Decapoda; Varunidae
Exons: 2
Source: RefSeq, a predicted model, not a curated record
CUCCUAGGUGAACUGCCUACCACGGCUAACGAGCCCAACCUGCCCGGGUUUGUUUAGAGUUUGCUCUCCUAGGUGAACUGCCUACCACGGCUAACGACCUCCACCUGCCCGGGUUUGUUUAGAGUUUGCUCUCCUAGGUGAACUGCCUACCACGGCUAACGACCUCCACCUGCCCGGGUUUAUUGUUCGGAGUUUGCUCUCCUAGGUGAACUGCCUACCACGGCUAACGACCUCCACCUGCCCGGAUUUGUUUAGAGUUUGCUCUCCUAGGUGAAUUGCCUCCCACGGCUAACGACCUCCACCUGCCCGGGUUUGUUUAGAGUUUGCUCUCCUAGGUGAAUUGCCUCCCACGGCUAACGACCUCCACCUGUCCGGGUUUGUUUAGAGUUUGCUCUCCUAGGUGAAUUGCCUCCCACGGCUAACGACCUCCACCUGCCCGGGUUUGUAUAGAGUUUGCUCUCCUAGGUGAAUUGCCUCCCACGGCUAACGACCUCCACCUGCCCGGGUUUGUAUAGAGUUUGCUCUCCUAGGUGAAUUGCCUCCCACGGCUAACGAGCCUCACCUGCCCGGGUUUGUAUAGAGUUUGCUCUCCUAGGCAGAUUGCCUACCACGGCUAACGAGCUCCACCUGCCCGGGUUAAUUGUUCGGAGUUUGCUCUCCUAGGCAGACUGCCUACCACGGCUAACAAGCUCCACCUGCCCGGGUUUGUAGCCGGAAGAUCUCCGGCACCUCCGUCGGGGCCCCGAGGGACGCCGAGGAGCCCUGCCUGGAGCCUUCCAGUCCUGCCAUGCUCGCCAGGGAGACCUUGGGCUCGCUGGCGCUCCACACCCCCGCCGAGGCGAGGAUGCAAGAACUCGCUUCUUAAAACUACCAGACUGGAUUAUAAAAUUAAUCAUAAUUACUGUGAAGGCGCCGGUCACCGCGUUUAUCGGUUCAGGGAUGGAAGACCGACGGGCCUGGGAAACGCGCACAAGCAUCCAAAGGAAUCCUCGCGACGGCUUGCGACGCAGCAUCCGUUUCCCUUUUCUUUCUCAUUCCAAUUUUUCUUUUUUAUUAUAUUUUCCUUCUCUGA